UGAUGGCUUCAUUCUCAAGAAAGCUCCUCCAGUGGCAUGGCCAGAUGGUUUCUAGCACCUCCAGAUGUGCACCAGACCAAUUGUUGGCAAUUCCUUUUUUCCCCAAGAGUUCCAGCAAAAUACCUUGGAUCGGAUCUCAUUGGAUCCAGCAAGCUGACGAGCCACUCCAGGCCUGGCACACGUGCCCACCACCGAGCCAGAGAGAGAGAGAGCGAGCCAGAGAGCACAAGCUGGGGUGGGGAAUGGCAGAAGGAGAAGAAGCAGCAGAUGUGGACUCGAUCCCAGGACCCUGGAAUCAUGACCUGAGCCAAAGGCAGAUGCUUAACUGAUUGAGCCAUCCAGACACCCCUAUCCUUUGUAUUUUACCUAAAAUGUCUUAUCCUCAGAGGAUAAGACACCUUUUCUGACCACCUUACCUAAAGAAGACACCUUCUGUUCCUUUGCUAGCAAGAACUGCUUAUCACCCCAUCCUGUUUAUUUCCUUUAUGGUAUUUGUCACAGUCUGUAAUCAUCUUAUUUAUUCAUUGCUAGUUUUCUAACUCCCUAAUUAAAAAAUAAGCUCUAGGAGGCCAGCCACUAAGUUUCUCAUGUUCUUUCUGCAUGCUUCUGGCCUGGCUAGCCAGUAACUAACUGACACAUAGUAGGCCCUCAACAUUUAUUUGUUG
This 665-nucleotide long non-coding RNA is filed under the name Mustela putorius furo (domestic ferret). Its description in RNAcentral is "lncRNA (ENSMPUG00000031038.1)". Lineage: Eukaryota; Metazoa; Chordata; Mammalia; Carnivora; Mustelidae. The record is from RNAcentral.